UUCUCAUUCUCAAAUCCAGUAAAGCAGGCAAGCAGCCUCGAAUACCCUAAUUUUUCUUUCUAGCUUCUCUUCUCCUCUAACCUCGUCCUCUAGUCCUCCGCCUCUGCGACAUCACCAUCGCCAUCGUCAGCCGUCUUCUCCACUUCAAUCGAGACUCUAGUAUGAUUAGAGGAACCUUCAAAUGCAAAUGGAAAUGUCAAUUUUGAAGCAAGAAGCAGAACUUGCAGCCAUGGAAGCUUCAUCAAAUGAAGAAGAAGGUCUCUUUUAAGGGUCGCGUGACUAUCACGUGACGGUCAAAGGCCAAACUUAACGGUCAACUGUUAAAAUCUGUUAAAAGGUAGUGUUUUGCAAAGAAUUGUAUUAUACAAGGUAGUUUUUUGCAAAAAUUUUUACAUAAUGUAAUUUUUUAUUAUAGAUUAGAUAGUUUUAUCAUAUAUAUUAAAAUGUAUGUACCCUCACUUACAGGCGCAAAAAGCUAAUUAAAUCCAGCCAUGCUUGUGGGUCGGA
This is a long non-coding RNA of Amaranthus tricolor (Joseph's coat), 507 nucleotides long. RefSeq lists it as uncharacterized. The transcript is spliced from 2 exons. Lineage: Eukaryota; Viridiplantae; Streptophyta; Magnoliopsida; Caryophyllales; Amaranthaceae. The record is from RefSeq and is a predicted model, not a curated record.